UACGGGGGGGCAAGCGUUGUUCGGCAUUACUGGGCGUAAAGGGCUUGUAGGUGGCCAACUAAGUCAGACGUGAAAUCCCUCGGCUUAACCGGGGAACUGCGUCUGAUACUGGAUGGCUGGAGUGUGGGAGAGGGAUGCGGAAUUCCAGGUGUAGCGGUGAAAUGCGUAGAUAUCUGGAGGAACACCGGUGGCGAAGGCGGCAUCCUGGACCAUUACUGACACUGAAAAGCGAAAGCCAGGGGAGCAAACGGG
RNAcentral lists this ribosomal RNA (252 nucleotides) under uncultured bacterium. Its description in RNAcentral is "partial 16S ribosomal RNA". It matches the Rfam family "Bacterial small subunit ribosomal RNA", at positions 524 to 776 of the family's 1533-position model. The record is from RNAcentral.